GGUGUUGACGGGUAACGGGGAAUUAGGGUUCGAUUCCGGAGAGGGAGCCUGAGAGACGGCUACCACUUCUAAGGAAGGCAGCAGGCGCGCAAAUUACCCACUGGCCGAAGGCCGAGGUAGUGACGAAAAAUAACGAUACCGGACUCAUCCGAGGCCCGGUAAUCGGAAUGAGUACACUUUAAAUCCUUUAACGAGGAACCAUUGGAGGGCAAGUCUGGUGCCAGCAGCCGCGGUAAUUCCAGCUCCAAUAGCGUAUAUUAAAGUUGUUGCGGUUAAAAAGCUCGUAGUUGGAUCUCAGCAGGCAGGGGGCGGUGCGUUUUUUGACGCGACUGCCUGUUUUGCCUGCGACUUUUCUCGGUGGAGUCGACCGGGUGCUCUUUAUUGAGUGUCCGUUUUGUCGGGCCACCAGGUUUACUUUGAAAAAAUUAGAGUGCUCCAAGCAGGCCGCAUACGCCUGAAUACUCGUGCAUGGAAUA
Molecule: ribosomal RNA, 476 nt
Filed under: Lernaea cyprinacea
Lineage: Eukaryota; Metazoa; Arthropoda; Copepoda; Cyclopoida; Lernaeidae
Description: SSU rRNA
Rfam family: Eukaryotic small subunit ribosomal RNA
Source: RNAcentral